RNAcentral lists this ribosomal RNA (497 nucleotides) under uncultured bacterium. RNAcentral's name for it is "partial 16S ribosomal RNA". It matches the Rfam family "Bacterial small subunit ribosomal RNA", at positions 28 to 507 of the family's 1533-position model. The record is from RNAcentral.
GAUGAACGCUGGCGGCGUGCCUAAUACAUGCAAGUCGAGCGAACGGACGAGAAGCUUGCUUCUCUGAUGUUAGCGGCGGACGGGUGAGUAACACGUGGAUAACCUACCUAUAAGACUGGGAUAACUUCGGGAAACCGGAGCUAAUACCGGAUGAUAUUUUGAACCGCAUGGUUCAAAAGUGAAAGACGGUCUUGCUGUCACUUAUAGAUGGAUCCGCGCUGCAUUAGCUAGUUGGUAAGGUAACGGCUUACCAAGGCAACGAUGCAUAGCCGACCUGAGAGGGUGAUCGGCCACACUGGAACUGAGACACGCUCCAGACCCCUACGGGAGGAAGCAGUAGGGAAUCUUCCGCAAUGGGCGAAAGCCUGACGGAGCAACGCCGCGUGAGUGAUGAAGGUCUUCGGAUCGUAAAACUCUGUUAUUAGGGAAGAACAUAUGUGUAAGUAACUGUGCACAUCUUGACGGUACCUAAUCAGAAAGCCACGGCUAACUACGUG